RNAcentral lists this non-coding RNA (102 nucleotides) under Terriglobus roseus. RNAcentral's name for it is "SAM-I sequence". It matches the Rfam family "SAM riboswitch aptamer (S box leader)". From Rfam's summary of the family: The SAM riboswitch is found upstream of a number of genes which code for proteins involved in methionine or cysteine biosynthesis in Gram-positive bacteria. The SAM riboswitch acts at the level of transcription termination control. RNAcentral also lists the same sequence under 1 other name. Lineage: Bacteria; Pseudomonadati; Acidobacteriota; Terriglobia; Terriglobales; Acidobacteriaceae. The record is from RNAcentral.
GUUUCAUGAAGAGUGGCUGAGGGACGAGCCCUGCGACGCCACGACAACCGGACGAGUCUGUACCGGUGUCACCUCUCUCCUGGGCAACAGGGAACAUGAGAU